This is a non-coding RNA of Erythranthe guttata (spotted monkey flower), 694 nucleotides long. The record is from RefSeq and is a predicted model, not a curated record. Lineage: Eukaryota; Viridiplantae; Streptophyta; Magnoliopsida; Lamiales; Phrymaceae.
UUUUUUUAGAAUAAGUCACGAUAUGCUCAUUUGGUUCUCUCUUCUCACCCAAACCCUAACCAUUCUCUCCACCCAUAUCCCUUCCGCCGCAGAGCUCAGAGCCUCCUUCCUCAUAGCCUCCACCGCCGCUCCCGACGGGGCUUCCGUCGUUGCCGCCGUUGAAGUCUCUCCUGCCGCCCUCGUCGCGGUUGUGCUUCUGGCCGUUCAUGUUCUCGUCAGUUGCUUUUUCUCUCGCUAUUUACUUCUUGCAGGCCUGCCCCACUGCUACUGAUGUUUAAAAAUUAAGCGAAGAACAUAUGGAAAUUGCUAUGGCGAGCGAAUAGAGAGACAGAAACAGGGGAGGCAGAAUUGAGCUGGGAUGAUUACAAGAAAAUGGACUUCACACAAUGUGUCUUGAUGUUUGAACAACUUCUAUGCACUUCGUUUUUGCCCAGAGGCCAUGGAGUUCAUCAAUUCAAAACAAUUUAUUAGGCAGAGAAAUAAUAAAGAAGAGUUUUCUUACGUUUAGUAAACAAAUCUUAUGAUACUCAAGAGAUCGUAUCAGUCUUUUAUUAUGUUCCUUUAUAUGAUAAUUUAUAGGGGCUAUUAGUGAGUACACCCUCUUUAAUAUUAUUUUAAUAGGGAUGAGUCCAGCUCCUUUUCCUUUAUUAGUGAGAAACUCAUUCUUUUUUUAUUCUCAAAUUUACCCUCCCAC